Long non-coding RNA from Alnus glutinosa, 785 nucleotides. RefSeq lists it as uncharacterized. Lineage: Eukaryota; Viridiplantae; Streptophyta; Magnoliopsida; Fagales; Betulaceae. The record is from RefSeq and is a predicted model, not a curated record. The transcript is spliced from 3 exons.
UGUCCUUCUCGCCAGACCCACAGAGACAGCAAUAGAGAGAGUGAGAGAAAUCGAGUGAGAGAGAGAUGCGAGAGAGCGAGAGAUAAGGGAUUGAGAGGGAGACCCGUGAGAUUUCCGUGGAAACCCAUCGAACCCGCCAAACCCGAGAGUGAAACCCGUGACCCGUGUGCAACCCGAGAGGAAAUCCGGUUCCCCAAGUGUGUUUUCCGGCGGAUGGAGGCUGUUCUGAUCCUGUGGUUUCCGUCGGUAGUGGACUGCCCAGAACCCCACGAACCCGAGACCUGCGACCCAUGACCCGCUGAACCAUGUGGAAGACCCGGUCCUCUAGGAGCGAUUUUCCGGCGAGUUUUCCGGCGGUCCAGUAGCGAUUUCCGGUGGAUUUUCUAGGAAAAUCCUCUAGGAUCAUGUUUGGAUUGGAGACUUUAAUUGGUUCUCCAAUGUAGAGUCCAAGUGACUAGAGUUCAAGGGAGUGUUCGAGUUGGAGUCCAAUGCAGCCAAGAUGAUGUUUCUUUGGCUGCAGGUACUUCGGUAUAGUCGAUGGGUCAGUAGCAGUGUGCAUGGGAUAUUAUGACUGAAGCUCACCGCGACGGUUAUAAUUGUCGGACCACGGGUUGUCCACUAUUUUAUAGGUUUGGUAUGGCUUGUGACGUUUGUGUCACUUAUUAAUUGUUAAGCCAUUAUUGUUAUAGUGUUAAUAAGACUCAAACAGAUAGAUGUUAAAUGGCUCUUUGUUGUAAUUAAUUUGUGAUAGAUGUAUAAGUUGUAAUUUCCGCUAUUCAGAUUUA